GACGAACGCUGGCGGCGUGCUUAACACAUGCAAGUCGAACGGAAAGGCCCUGCUUUUGUGGGGUGCUCGAGUGGCGAACGGGUGAGUAACACGUGAGUAACCUGCCCUUGACUUUGGGAUAACUUCAGGAAACUGGGGCUAAUACCGGAUAGGAUCUCCUGCUGCAUGGUGGGGGUUGGAAAGUUUCGGCGGUUGGGGAUGGACUCGCGGCUUAUCAGCUUGUUGGUGGGGUAGUGGCUUACCAAGGCUUUGACGGGUAGCCGGCCUGAGAGGGUGACCGGCCACAUUGGGACUGAGAGACGGACCAGACUCCUACGGGAGGCAGCAGUGGGGAAUAUUGCACAAUGGGAGGAAGCCUGAUGCAGCAACGCCGCGUGCGGGAUGACGGCCUUCGGGUUGUAAACCGCUUUCGCCUGUGACGAAGCGUGAGUGACGGUAAUGGGUAAAGAAGCACCGGCUAACUACGUG
Molecule: ribosomal RNA, 468 nt
Filed under: uncultured bacterium
Lineage: Bacteria
Description: partial 16S ribosomal RNA
Rfam family: Bacterial small subunit ribosomal RNA
Source: RNAcentral